Molecule: ribosomal RNA, 253 nt
Filed under: uncultured bacterium
Lineage: Bacteria
Description: partial 16S ribosomal RNA
Rfam family: Bacterial small subunit ribosomal RNA
Source: RNAcentral
UACGUAGGGUCCGAGCGUUGUCCGGAAUUAUUGGGCGUAAAGGGCUCGUAGGCGGUUUGUCACGUCGGGCGUGAAAACUCAGGGCUCAACCCUGAGCGUGCGUUCGAUACGGGCAGACUAGAGGUAUGCAGGGGAGAACGGAAUUCCUGGUGUAGCGGUGGAAUGCGCAGAUAUCAGGAGGAACACCGGUGGCGAAGGCGGUUCUCUGGGCAUUACCUGACGCUGAGGAGCGAAAGCGUGGGGAGCGAACAGG